This 94-nucleotide transfer RNA is filed under the name Candidatus Bathyarchaeota archaeon. Its description in RNAcentral is "tRNA-Thr". It matches the Rfam family "tRNA". Rfam says of the family: Transfer RNA (tRNA) molecules are approximately 80 nucleotides in length. Their secondary structure includes four short double-helical elements and three loops (D, anti-codon, and T loops). Lineage: Archaea; Thermoproteati; Candidatus Bathyarchaeota. The record is from RNAcentral.
GCCUCGGUGGCUCAGCCUGGUAGAUGUUCCCGGAACACCGGAGAGCAUCCGCCUCGUACCCGCAGGGUCGCGGGUUCAAACCCCGCCCGAGGCU